UUACCUACCAUAAAAUAUUCAGGUGAACCUUUUUUAUGCAAAAUGGACAGAGAGUCUUAGCCUAAAACACCUAAGUAUUAUUUAAAUGUCUUAUGCUUCUUUUAGAUGAGUCAAAAAAUAUAUCCUUGAUUCUGAACUUAUUAGAGCCAUAUGGCCAAUCAUAAAAAGAAUACGCCUCUCUCAACACUUUCACUGAGGAGGAGCAGGUUGAGGAGCGCGGAUCCAGGCUAGCCCUCUUGGGCAAGCCAGGCAGUCUGUUCAGGAAACAUCUCUUUAAAAAUAGCAGCAAGAGUUUCCCUUUUCAUUUAGACGUUGGUUUACCUAUCCUCCACUAACAGCCUGUUAAAAUACCAUCCCAGUGACUGACAUAUUUGCAAAAAUUAUUGUAGUUCUCAGCCUCGUGGGAGGCCCCAACUGAGAAAGCAAUAUGUGGCUAUCUUCGAGGUAAAGCCUUAACUCGAAUCUCAGACCCAACGCUGGAAGAUGCCACGCACCCCAGAAAUAGAGUGUGGCCCUUCUAGGAAGUGCCGUUUCCUGCCUAGAUCCUUUUCUCUCACCUGAAAGAACCAGAACAGCCCAGGGAGAAAGGGCUGCUGGUCCUGCAGGGUGUCUCCUACCUCAUGACCUCAUUACGUGCCUGUCCCCAAAGCUGAGUCACUUUGCUCCUGAUUCCCAGAUUCUGGCCUGUGUUUUCUUCAUCAGGUUUAUCUUGAUGCCUGUCAUGCAGUAUUCCUUGAAAGUCAGCAUCCCUCAAAUUCCUGUCAUUCCCAGGAGACAUGGACUGUGUUUCAACAAUCUCAGAUACCUUUUAUGAUGUGGAAGGCAGGAGAAAGCAUGGCUCAUUGACACACUGCUGUGUCCUGUUUUUGUCUGGGUGGUGCAACCUUUGACAGAGUAGUGGAUCUGGGCCAUAUGGGAGAGACCACCACAACUGCCCAAUGGGAGUGUCACAAUUCCCUGAGCUAUGGGAGCCAGGCUGCCCCGGAAUGUAGACUCGGACCCGGAGCUGAUGUCACAAUCACAGAGUUCACUAUUCAGUGAAUGCAGGAUUCCUAAGUUUCCAUCAGGGUUGAGGCACUGCACAGAGACUCCGAGAAUAAACCAUGCAACAGAGGCACAGCUGUUCGCUGAGCCUACCCUGCAAUGGAGGACCAAAACAUCUGAAGCCAAAACAAGUUGUUAUUCACGCCGCUGGCUAAUGAAAUUAAACAGAGCAAUCAGCCCAUCCAGAGCUUGGAGGUUCUAGAGCAUCAGGACAGGCAGAAAAAUGGAAGAAAAACUUAAAGAAUGUGUGGAUUUCAGCUCUGCACCACCACAGGACAGCAGUAUCGUGAGGCAAGUGCUUUCUGGAGCACUUCGUACAUCUCAAGUUCAUGAUACAUAUUAAUUAAUUGUGACAUUUGUGUUUUAAAUUAAAAAUAAAUAUAGUAGA
This 1432-nucleotide long non-coding RNA is filed under the name Rhinopithecus bieti (black snub-nosed monkey). RNAcentral describes it as "lncRNA (ENSRBIG00000045990.1)". The record is from RNAcentral. Lineage: Eukaryota; Metazoa; Chordata; Mammalia; Primates; Cercopithecidae.